CAACAAAAACUUCAGAUUCAGACAGUCCUGAGUUCAAAUCCCAGCUCUGCCACCUACUAACUGUAACUUUGAGCAAGUGUAAAGUUUCCAGCACAGAGCCCAGCUGUCCGGAGUUGGUGACAUUUGGCGACGUGGUUGUGUAUGUCUCCCAGGAGACACGGAGGCAACCAGAACCUGGACAGAGGAACCACCUGGAAAGCUGGGGGAAAUCUGCAAAUGGGACCUCACUAGAUUUCCCAGCCCAUAGACCCGAUGUGAGCUCCCACGUGGAAGAGGAGGAAAGCCCAGAUCUCCAAAGCUCCCCAGAGAAGGAGAG
This 316-nucleotide long non-coding RNA is filed under the name Camelus dromedarius (Arabian camel). RNAcentral's name for it is "lncRNA (ENSCDRG00005013297.1)". The record is from RNAcentral. Lineage: Eukaryota; Metazoa; Chordata; Mammalia; Artiodactyla; Camelidae.